This is a small nucleolar RNA of Malania oleifera, 106 nucleotides long. The record is from RefSeq and is a predicted model, not a curated record. NCBI's taxonomy places the organism in Eukaryota, Viridiplantae, Streptophyta, Magnoliopsida, Santalales, Ximeniaceae.
ACUUGAUGGUGUGGGCAUUUAUGAAGCAGGUCCCUAAAACAUUCCUAAGUCUCAAAGAAAAGUUCUCUAUCCAUCUGUGUGAAACUCGUGAUUGCCCUUCGAAACU